Molecule: ribosomal RNA, 305 nt
Filed under: uncultured bacterium
Lineage: Bacteria
Description: bacterial SSU rRNA
Rfam family: Bacterial small subunit ribosomal RNA
Source: RNAcentral
ACCUACGGGGCGCAGCAGUAGGGAAUUUUCGUCAAUGGGCGCAAGCCUGAACGAGCAAUGCCGCGUGAACGAGGAAGGUCUUCGGAUCGUAAAGUUCUGUUGAAGGGGAAAAAGAGCGGAGAGAGGAAAUGGUCUCCGAUUGAUAUUACCCUUCGAGGAAGUCACGGCUAACUACGUGCCAGCAGCUGCGGUAAUACGUAGGUGGCGAGCGUUAUCCGGUAUGAUUGGGCGUAAAGGGUGCGUAGGCGGCCUGCUAAGUCUGUAGUGAAAGGUACCGGCUCAACCGCUACAGGCUCUGGCAACUG